Molecule: ribosomal RNA, 424 nt
Filed under: uncultured prokaryote
Description: bacterial SSU rRNA
Rfam family: Bacterial small subunit ribosomal RNA
Source: RNAcentral
UGGGGAAUAUUGGACAAUGGGUGAAAGCCUGAUCCAGCAAUGCCGCGUGAGUGAUGAAGGCCUUCGGGUUGUAAAGCUCUUUUACCAGGGAUGAUAAUGACAGUACCUGGAGAAUAAGCUCCGGCUAACUCCGUGCCAGCAGCCGCGGUAAUACGGAGGGAGCUAGCGUUGUUCGGAAUUACUGGGCGUAAAGCGCGCGUAGGCGGUUACUCAAGUCAGGGGUGAAAUCCCGGAGCACAACCCCGGAACUGCCCUUGAAACUAGGUAACUAGAAUCUUGGAGAGGCGAGUGGAAUUCCGAGUGUAGAGGUGAAAUUCGUAGAUAUUCGGAAGAACACCAGUGGCGAAGGCGGCUCACUGGCUCGGUACUGACGCUGAGGUGCGAAAGCGUGGGGAGCAAACAGGAUUAGAUACCCGUGUAGUCC